This 118-nucleotide small nucleolar RNA is filed under the name Jaculus jaculus (lesser Egyptian jerboa). Its description in RNAcentral is "Small nucleolar RNA SNORA51 (ENSJJAG00000009289.1)". It matches the Rfam family "Small nucleolar RNA SNORA51". From Rfam's summary of the family: ACA51 is a member of the H/ACA class of snoRNA that guide the sites of modification of uridines to pseudouridines. Lineage: Eukaryota; Metazoa; Chordata; Mammalia; Rodentia; Dipodidae. The record is from Rfam by way of RNAcentral.
AGUCUCCUACUGCCUACCAGAGUCUGUAUUCUUACACUGACUGUUUAGAAAGAGGAGGCAAAACAAACCUCAGCCUGGGCCACUGUGCCUGGUCUGUAUUGUGAAUGGGAAGACAUAG